CUCCUGAGGUCUGGGAUUUUAGCAUGCACCACUGCUCCCAGCAUUAUUAGUAUUCUUGAUGACUGCCAUUCUGACUGAUGUAGAUGAAAUCUCAGUGUAGUUUUGAUUUGCAUUUCCUUGAUUGUUAAUAAUGUAGAAUAUUUUUUUCAUAUGUAUUUGUAUUUCUUCUUUUGAGAAAUUUGUGUUUAAUUUGUUUGCCCUUUUAGUAAUUGUGUUAUUUGAUUUUUUUGGUGUGAAGUUUUUUGAGUUCUUUAUAUAUCCUAGAUAUUAACCUAUGUCAGAAGAGUCACUAGUAAAGAUUUUCUCCCAUUCUUUGGGUUCUCUCUUCACAUUCUUAAUUGUUUCCUUUGCUGUGCAGAAGAUUUUUAAUUUGAUACCAUCCCAUUUAUUAACUGUUGGCAUUAUUUCCUGAGUGUUAGGUAGUCUGUUGAGUUGGAGUGAUGAUCCUACAUUUUCUUCUAGGAGUUGUACAGUUUCUGGUCUAAUUCCUAGGUCUUUGAUCCAUUUUGAGUUGAUUUUUGUGCAGAGAGAGAUAAAAGUCUAGUUUCAUCCUUCUUCAUAUGGAUAGCCAGUUUCCCCAUUUAACUGGAACAUUCAAUCCAUUUCUGUGUCAUAAAAUUAUUGAUGUGUUGCAGUUAAGAUAUAACCCUUUAGCUUAAUCCCUUUUACUGUAUUUGAUUCCUCUUUACAAUCUUGCUGCCUUCUGAAUUGGUUAAUUUUCAUGAUUUAAUCUUUCCCUUCAAGUAGGUUAAAAACUUCAUCUCAAUCUGCUUCUAUAACUUUGGCAAUUAAUCUAGGAAUUAAAACUAGUUGUCUUAAUUCAUUUGGACUGCUAUCACACACCAUCAUUAACUGGGCAGUUUAUAAAAACAUCAGAUGUUUAUUUUUGACAAUUCUGAAGGCUGGGAAGUGUGAGAAGGUGCCAGCAGAGGAUCAACUGAGGGCACCUUCUGGUUCAUAGACAGCACCUUCUACUUGUGUCCUCACACAGUGAAAUGGAAAGGGCAGCCUCCUUUGUAAAACCACUCUAAAGCUUCUUUUAACAUAGCUCUAAUCCCCUUCAUGAGAGCUCCACCUACAUAAUCUAAUUACCUCCCCAAACCCCACCUCCUAAUACCAACACAUUGGUGAUUAGGUUUAAACAUGAAUGUUGGGGAAGCAACAAACAUGGAUAUCAUAGCACGAGCCUUCUUAACAAUGUCUGAUGCCAAUUUAUCACUCAGACAGCAGAAGAAAAGUCUAAUCAGCAGAAGAUUAUCUAAAUGUCAAUCAGUUGAUCAAUAUACCCAUUUAUCUAUCUUGCUCUUAAAAAUGAUUCUUCCUAGUUGCUUAGGAAAUUGUGGGAACAAUCUAAGUCUGAAAUCUACAUGGUGGGAAGUCAGAAAGAGAAGGUCACAAACAGACUGGAACUCACAGGGAAGGCAACUGCUGUCCACAGUAAAAUUCCUUCCAGAAUUUUUACCUUGAAUAAUCACCUGGAGUAAAGUCAAUAGAUUUAUUGCAUGCCCUCCUAGCAGCACAUAGAUUAGUGUUUGAUGGAAUACCAAAAGAUGGAGGCCCAGCCAUUUUCAUCUAUCAAUUAUUACACCUAUGUAUGAGUAUGAGUGCACGAAUGGUGUAACCCUACAUCAUGUACAACCACAGAAAUGGAAAGUUGUGCUCCAUUUGUGUAAAACAUAAAAUACAAAUUAUUAAAAUAAAAAAGAAAACUAUCACAGCUAGUUAAUACCUUUCCACUCUUCUCAACACUGAGAGCUUAUAAGACAUCAAUUCUCUUUUCUCAGUUUAUAUACCAUUGUCAUGUAGUUUAUAUAUGUGUGUGCGUGUGCACACUUGUGUAUUUAAACAGCAUAAGAUUACAUAUAUUCAUAUAUUAUAUAUAUUUGUUUUGUAGUCAAUGUUAAUUUUGAUUUACUCCUGUGUAUAUCACUUUCUUGGCUCUUCAUUUCUUCUUUUAUCAUAGACCCUAUAUCCAGGGGCAUUUUCCUUUUUCUGAAGUAUAGUUCAUUUGUUUUUGUUUUAUUAAUGUGAAUUUAUGGAAGCAAUUUUCUCAAAUUUUAUUGAUCAAAUUUCAUUCUUGAAAAAUUAUUUGUGUAUGUAGAAUUCUAGAUUGGUAAUUACAGCUUUCUCCAAAUUUAAAAAGCUCUUUUAACAUCUUCUAGCUUGUUACCGCUAUUGAGAAGUCUGCUGUAAGUCUAACCAUUAAUUGCCAUUAAAUGAAUCUGACCUUUUCUUUGGCCAUGUUAAGAUUUCACUCUUUUCUUUGGUUUUCUGUGUAUUCUUUAAAAUGAAGCAAGGCAUUCAUACCAGUGAUACCACCAGUUACUGGAGAGGAAUCCUGCUUCCUCACAUGUUGAAGUAUAACAUUAGAGAAGCACACCAAGGCAAGCAUAUAAAGCAGGGUUUAUUUAGAAAGGGGUAACAUAGACUUCUCCCAGGAGGAAGAAGGGGGCCAUGGCUGGUAUCCUGGUAUCUUAAGAAGUGAGGGUAUUCUGCUUUUUUUUUUUUUUUAAUGUCUUAGGCUUCCUUUGUUCUCCUGCUCUCUUCCCCUUAUCUCUCUCCUUUCUGUGUAUGUGACUAGGCCCAGGAGAUGCUCAGGUGGAAUGACCAAAAGGUGAGAAGCAGAUGGACAGGGGGAUUGGCCAGAUGAAGCAGCCCAGGACACAUUAAUUAACAGCUUUUACAACUCCCUGUAGGGAGGGACAAUUCCUGGGGCAGAUUACCUUAGCAACAGGUUGGAACAGAGCAGAUUAUCAUGAUAAGGGUGGAGGAAGGGCUCUGAAGUCCCUAGGAGGCAGACUCCAACUUUCUGGACUUACUCAAAUUGGCCUCCUUGAUCCGACCUGACUCGAUUUACCUAUCUAUGUUGACUGCCUGGCUAAUUCUGGCUUCACCAGCAUGAACCCAUUCAGGGUCCAAAUUGGACUUUUAUUACUUUUGCCUAAUAAACCUAACAAGUAAUGGUCAUGUUAAUGACUGUUCUUAAGAAAAUGAAUUUUUUUUUUUCAUUUUAACAUUUGAAUUUUGGUAGUAUUAAUGCUUUUCUUACUGGAAAGAAGAAUGUAAUUUUUCAGUUGUUUAAUUUUGCAUAGUUUUUUUUUUUAUUUUUAAAAUACUCUAAUAUAUAUGUUGUUUUUGAAAUUUGUUUUAUUCAUUAAACUUUAUACUUUUGAUAUUUAAUCAUAGUGUUUAAAACAUUAAGUUUUCAUUGUAUAUAGGGUAAGUAUCAAUUAUGAUAAUGUACUGUGUAUUUCAAGAGCUGGAGAAAGGAUUUUGAAUGUUCUAACUGCAAAGAAAUAAAUGUUUGAAGAGAAAGAUAUUUGUCCUGAUUUGGACAUUGUGCAAAGUAUACAUGUAUUAAAACAUCAUAAAGACCCCAUAAAUAUGUGCAAAUAAUUAUCAAUUAAAAAGAUGUUUUCACCAUGAAGAAAUGAUAGAUCAUUGAGAAGAUAGAUGUUUAGCUUGACUUAAACAUUACACAGACUAUACAAACAGGGAAAUACCACAUAGUAAACUGUUAUUAGGUAUAAUUUUUGUUUUAAUCUAUCAUUUUUUCAAAAAAUUAAAGAAAAAAUGAAAAUAUUGAUAAAAUAAGCAAAUAUGAUAGUAGAUUAAUGGCACAAAAUAUUAGUGAGUUAAACAACUGAGUGUCAAAUAUAGUGGAUGGUUAAAGAAGAUUUAAGAGAAUAUUUGUGUUCUCUUACACAGAUUGUGGUGAGAUGUGAAUCCCUUUUCUGUGGCCCCACCCCUUUGGCCUUGUGCGCUGCAUCCAACAUGGCUUCUCUCUUGGAUGGCUCUGCCCAUUGCUUCCUACAGCUUUCCUUGGCAGAUGUUCCAUGUUACUAGAAUCUCUUAAUUCCUGAGGUCUCCACUGCAGCUUUAGCUUCAUUCUCACAUUUUUAUGCAUUUCUGUCUCAGGGGCUACCUGAAGGGAUGCUGACCCUCCUGCACUUUGCCUGGCCUCCCAGGACUUCCUUUGAAACCUCAGUGGAGGCCUCCAUGAUCCCCAACUCCAGAAUCCUACAUUCUUGAACAACUGGCACCACAUGGAUGAUGCCAACUCCUGCUGCCAGCUCAAGGAAUAGCUGGGCUCCUUGACUAUGGUUGCAGGGGCCCUUGAAUCUAGACAACUGAACAUUAUUUAAGGACCCAUGAGGAAGGAACUUCAUAGGUCCCUCUUAUGGAGGCAGGGUGCUCCUAUGAUCUCUUUUCAAAUGAAUUUUUAUUUUACACCCUUAAGACUUCAAUGGGUGUAGUUUCCUAAGGUGCCCUUAGGGAAUCUUUUCUAUUAUCUCUGGAUAAAAUACUUAGCUUCUCUUUAGUGGUGGUAAUCUCUUCAGCAACCACAUCUACUUCUUUGGCUAAACUGAAAGCUUUUUCAAUCUUUCCUGGUUUUUUUGCUUCUCAUUAUCACAGUAAAUUUGGAUAAAAAACCACCAGCAAUACCCAUUCAACUUUCUGAAUUUGUGCUGCCUUGAACUUUACUCCCCCAGAUUUAUUAGUCCAUCAACUAUAGAUUGAGACUCAAAGUUUCAGGUCAUGGGCAAAUUGCAGAAAAGUUCUUUGCUGUCAUGUGACUGUAUCUAAUGUGACUUGUCUCUAAUCCAAUUCCUAAGAGUCCUCAUUACCAUCUGAAACCUCAUGAGCAUAGUCUUUUUACUGUUCAUAUUGUUAUCAACAUUCUGGUCUUCUCCGCUCCCAUCAGAAUUACCUAAAAAACUUUGCUUUUAACAUUCUAAGUUUUCUCCAGCCUGCAUCUCCAAACUUAUCCAAACUCGUGUCACAAACCAGUUCAAAAGGCUUCUGAACCAAAUGGUCAGGUUACUCACAGCAACAACCUUACUUUUCAGUAUCAAUCUACGUGUUAGUCAGCUUUUCAUUGCUGUGACCAAAGUAACUGACAACAGUUACUUAGCAAAGAAAUAAUUUAUUCUCAGUUCAUAGUUUUAAGGAUUAAACCUCUGAGUUGGUGAACCCAAAAUAAGAUUUUCUUUACGAAUUCUCAGUUGAUAUAUAAUUUUAAGCACCUAACUAAUUUUAGAAAUGAAAUUUUAAGCAUCUAAUUUUAGAAAUGUAAGACAAUGAUUUCAUUCUUCAACAUUUAGUAUUAUAGACUCAGUUAUUAUUUUGGUGUUAUCAAAAUAAAUUUUUUUUCUGUAUGUGUUUAAGGUUUUUUGCUUUUGUUUUUUUAUGUUUGUGUUUUAGCAGAGCCUAAAUAUAGGUUUCCUUUGUGUAUAUACUCGGGGGAGUUUGCCAAGAUUUACAUUUGUGUUUUGAUUUCUCUAAUCAAUUUUAGGUACCUUUGAGCUAUUAAUUUUUCAGUUAUUACUUCUGUCAAUUUUCCCUCCUUUGAAACUCCAGUUAUUCAUAUGUUCUGUUACUUGACACUGCAUGACACAUUUUUUUACUCUGUUUGAUUUGUUCUUAUUUAUGCACUUUAGACUUUCUGUAUUUCAUUUGUGGCAUUUCUACAUUAGACUUUCUUCAAGUUUAAUAUAUUUCACUCUGUGUCCAUAUGACUCAUGAGACAUUAUUUCACAUAUUUAUUCUGUACUUUCAGAAUAACACAUGAUUUUUAGAGUCAUUUUGUUUUGGGUACCUUUUUAUUUUUACUUAUUUACAUCUUCUUUAUAUAGUUUCUUUAACAUACUUAAAAGAGUUAUUCUAAAGAUAUUGAUAGCAUUGUAGCUUCAGGAGCUAAGUGUCUGCUAUUUACUAACUUUAUUUUCUCUUCCUGGACAGACUUUUUCUCCUUUCAUGUGUGCUUUAAUUUUCAUUUGAGUCCAUACAUUUUGUAUGAGAUGGAAUGUUAUGACUUAAGUUUAUAUAAUUACUCCCACCAAUGAGAGUGUUUGCUUUCUUUUGAUCUAAUUAAACUCAUUUGGGCCUGGGUUAUAUUUUAGUUUGUGUCAGUCCACUUCUGGUAUGAAAAUAUGCAAAGAGAGGACUGU
This 5951-nucleotide long non-coding RNA is filed under the name Marmota monax (woodchuck). Lineage: Eukaryota; Metazoa; Chordata; Mammalia; Rodentia; Sciuridae. The record is from RNAcentral.